GCUGAAACAACUAAUCGAUUUAAUCGAUUAUAAUCGAUUAUUAAAAUAGUUAACAACUUUUUUAGUCAUCGAUUAGUUGUUUAAUAAUCAUAUUUUACCGCAUAAAGUCUAUUUUUUACCACAAUCUGACAUUGGUUACAAUCUGUUAAAUUUGCCGCCAGUGUGUGGCAGUAAUGAGCCACUGAUCUACCAGUGGGGCCGUAGAAGAAGAAAUUAGCCAAUAAGUGCCCUCGGAUUUCAUGACGUAUCACGUUACUGACGCGCAUCUUGCUGUGAGAGAUGGCGGAUCAACAACAAAUACGGAAGAAAAAUAGAAGCGACAAAACAAGAGAAACCCCGGACAAAAACCUCACGAGUAUGGGAGCACUUCACUAGAUGCCUUGAAAAGACCGGUGACCUACAAAAUAUGCAAAAACCAUGGCACGACGGAAGCACGACGUCCCUAAGUGAACAUUUGAAAUGAAAACAUGGGGGCUGAUGCAGCAGAGGAAAGUCCGAAAAAAACAAGCAACGAUGGACAACUACAUGGGGAACAAGACACUCACCCCCAGCAAUGCAUACCACUUACAAACUCUAUUCCAGAUUCUACAUUAUUUUUUAUGGAAUUUACCUCUUAUAUUUUGAUGCCAAAAAAUUAUUCUGGACUGAUAUUUUGCACUGUUUAGCUCAUUUUACACUGCUGACUGUGGUCAUGUGCAAUAAAAUAGAUUGCAGUCAACUGCACAA
Molecule: non-coding RNA, 726 nt
Organism: Nothobranchius furzeri (turquoise killifish)
Lineage: Eukaryota; Metazoa; Chordata; Actinopteri; Cyprinodontiformes; Nothobranchiidae
Source: RefSeq, a predicted model, not a curated record